This 279-nucleotide ribosomal RNA is filed under the name uncultured bacterium. RNAcentral's name for it is "partial 16S ribosomal RNA". It matches the Rfam family "Bacterial small subunit ribosomal RNA", at positions 506 to 784 of the family's 1533-position model. The record is from RNAcentral.
UGCCAGCAGCCGCGGUAAUACGAAGGGGGCGAGCGUUGUUCGGAAUUACUGGGCGUAAAGCGUACGUAGGCGGCUUGUUAAGUCUGAUGUGAAAUACCUCGGCUCAACUGGGGAACUGCAUUGGAAACUGACAGGCUAGAGCAUCGGAGAGGAGAGUGGAAUUCCUGGUGUAGCGGUGGAAUGCGUAGAUAUCAGGAGGAACACCGAAGGCGAAGGCAGCUCUCUGGACGAUUGCUGACCCUGAGGGACGAAAGCUAGGGGAGCGAACAGGAUUAGAUA